AACCUUUACAAUGCACGCAAGUGUGAUAAGGGGAUUCUGAGUGCUCAUGCAUUGCAUGGGCUUUUGCCAAAGGUAAAUACUUUGGCGAAUAAGGGGUGGGUAAGACGGGUGCCAGCCGCCGCGGUAACACCUGCGCCCCGAGUGGGAACCAGCUUUAUUUGGUCUAAAGCGUCCGUAGCCGGACUUGCAAAUUCUCUGUGAAAUCGGUCAGCUUAACUGAUCGGCGUGCAGGAAACACUACAAGUCUUGGGACUGGGAGAGGUCAGAAGUAUGUCAGGGGUAGCGGUAAAAUGUUAUAAUCCCUGAUGGACUACCUAUGGCGAAGGCAUCUGACCAGAACAGAUCCGACGGUGAGGGACGAAAGCUAGGGGAGCGAUCCGG
RNAcentral lists this ribosomal RNA (381 nucleotides) under uncultured archaeon. RNAcentral describes it as "bacterial SSU rRNA". It matches the Rfam family "Archaeal small subunit ribosomal RNA", at positions 345 to 727 of the family's 1478-position model. The record is from RNAcentral.